RNAcentral lists this long non-coding RNA (873 nucleotides) under Elaeis guineensis (African oil palm). Its description in RNAcentral is "long non-coding RNA (EGUI_LNC066763)". The record is from RNAcentral. Lineage: Eukaryota; Viridiplantae; Streptophyta; Magnoliopsida; Arecales; Arecaceae.
GACCGCCACAGUGACUUGCAAGCAACUCACUGCACUUAGGCACUGGACUACCUGAAUUUUUAAUUCAGUGAUGGAAGGCUGCUGGGUGUAGUCAAGUACUUGACUUGUCGGUGCGUGUGUCAAGAUGGGAUUGACCACUCCAGUUUAGGAGCUGUGUACAGUCAUGUUUCAAUUUAGCAAAACCUUGGCCAGGAUAGUCCUUGUGAGGAGUCACAGGACUGUUUGAGUUGAGCACGAUUCGGAUGAUCUGAUCAGGGUUGACAGUUUAACCCUGAGUCGUCCUAAACACAGAGGUCAAAAGGAUGAAUUAUACAGUAACCAUAUUCAUGUACGUUCUGAGUGUUGCGAUUGUGACCAUUCGACCUAUCUGGUCAUCGGGUACAAUUGUUAGAUGGUCACUUCGAUUAGUACAGGAAUUGGUUCCUGUGCUACCGGCUUAGGUUCGAACCUGUGGAGUCACACAUAUUAGAGGUUCUUAUCUGAUCUGAUGGCUGAUGUAGAAUCUUACAUAUUUGGGACUCAGUGAUCAAGAAUCAGGAUUCUCUAAUCACGAGUUCCACACAUUAUGGGUACCGGGGUCAAGAGUCCCACUGGUUUGGGACUCUUCGAUCAGGGUUACAUAUCGAUGAAUUCUGAUGCUCGAUUAUCCAUCGGAUUUGGACUCAAUAUUUAUGAGAGGUUUAAUUAGUAAUUUGAUCACUAAUUAACUCAAUUUGAUUGAGUAAUUAUUUUUGGAUCAAGUCCAAUUGAAUUAGAUUCAGUUGGGUUUGACUCGAUUAGGUUAAGAGUUGACCUAAUCGUCGAGAUGGUUUGGUCCCUGAUUUGAUCAGGGGUUGGGCUUAAUCAAUUCCUGAUUUGAUUAGAAUUUUAUUG